UUCUCUUUUAGGGUUCGUGCCCGCCUCUGAGUCCACUCCCACUCCAAUCCAUGUUCAGCAGUACCUAUUUAAGGACACUCUGCCCUGCCUUCUGUGCCUGAUCAAUAUUGUGGUUUUGCACAGUAAAGGUUCUGCUGCUUCUCUGCUGACUCCGUGUUCCAGACUUCUGCCUGUUUUGUGACUCCGUCCUCGCCUGACCCCUGGUACUUUCCUGUCUCUCCUGGUACAGACCUCAGACUGCUAGACUAUGCCUUUGCCUGCUAUUGAACUAAAAACCCCACAAGCACCUGUGCUACUCAGCUCUGCUAUUCCCUGCUCCAGCUCUGCCACGCCAUCUGCCUGGUCAGCGUCUACUGGCCCUGCUGCUGUGCUACUCCAACCAGCCUCAGCCAGCCCCACCCACCUGCAAACACAGAUCCUUUCUUUUAAGGAUUCUUUGGGCUGCUUUGGCCAGCUGCGUCUUCACUGGGACCACUCUUGUGUAGCGACCUGGUAUCUCCCUGCAGCUAAGACCAGCUUCCGCACCCGGAGCAGGAUAAAGAGUGAAGGCCAGGGAGAUACUUAGACUCCGCUCGCGAGUUUGGCCCAAAGCCAAACCGAAACCUUCACUGUUCACUCAAUCUGCCCUGGCUAUGUGAUUAAAAAAAAAACAGGUGCAAGACUGAUCACAGUAAAAUCCCUUUUACACAGGACUAUUAUCGGAAAAUGAGUGUUACUGAAUCAGCCAAUUGGAUCUUUUGUACGACCAUUUAAAUUAUCGCUAUCGACCGCCCAUUUCCCUAUGUAAACAGGUGAUGUGCGUCCGACAAUGUUGAGUUUAUCGAACCUUGUGAAGACUCAUCAAACAAGUACCAACCACAGAGAUCAGCAAUCAUCAUCUGCAGAAUGUCGUUCCAUAUAAAAAGAUGCUGCAGACCCUACAUUGAUUGAUAUGAAGGAUGGGCCGAGGAGGAGGAGGGGGUAAUAAACAGAGAAGAGGCAUGCACAACAGACAUGGACUGGAAAGUAACAAGUGGUUCAGACAAUGAUCUAUCCACAUGCACAAAGUCAGAUUUGUUCACACAGUGCAGUUUUUGAUUUUUUUUCCCCAGACAGAAAAAAGGCAAGAGUCUUUCUGUUACACUGUUCUUGUCAUUACAA
Hyla sarda is the source of this 1140-nucleotide long non-coding RNA. RefSeq lists it as uncharacterized. The record is from RefSeq and is a predicted model, not a curated record. The transcript has 3 exons. Lineage: Eukaryota; Metazoa; Chordata; Amphibia; Anura; Hylidae.